CCUACUGGUGGCAUCAUUGGGGCAUCUUGCACAAUGGGGGAAACCCUGAUGCAGCGACGCCGCGUGAGUUCCUACUUCAUUCGUUACGUCCCUCUCUCUCCGCCGUUCCGCCCCCCUGCCCUUCCGGUCAGCAGACGGUCCCUGCGUAAGAAGCCCCGGCUAACUACGUGCCAGCAGCCGCGGUCAUCCGUCGGGGGCCCGCGUUCUCCGGCUUUCCGGGGUGGACCGGGAGCGUCGCCGGUGCGCCCCGUCUGGAGUGAAAUGCCGCCGCUUAACUGCGGAACUGCUUUGGACACUGGCGAACUAGAGUGCGGGAGGGGUAAGCGGAAUUCCUAGUGUAGCGGUGAAAUGCGUAGAUAUUAGGAGGAACACCGGUGGCGAAGGCGGCUUACUGGACCGUAACUGACGUUGAGGCUCGAAAGCGUGGGGAGCAAACAGGAUUAGAGACCCUAGUAGUC
Molecule: ribosomal RNA, 458 nt
Filed under: uncultured bacterium
Lineage: Bacteria
Description: partial 16S ribosomal RNA
Rfam family: Bacterial small subunit ribosomal RNA
Source: RNAcentral